This 293-nucleotide ribosomal RNA is filed under the name uncultured bacterium. Its description in RNAcentral is "partial 16S ribosomal RNA". It matches the Rfam family "Bacterial small subunit ribosomal RNA", at positions 505 to 796 of the family's 1533-position model. The record is from RNAcentral.
GUGUCAGCCGCCGCGGUAAUACGGAGGGUGCAAGCGUUAUCCGGAAUCACUGGGUUUAAAGGGUGCGUAGGCGGCGAGGUAAGUCAGUUGUGAAAUUCCCCGGCUCAACCGGUGGGACUGCGAUUGAUACUGCUUUGCUUGAAACAGGUUGAGGUAAGCGGAAUGUGGCAUGUAGCGGUGAAAUGCAUAGAUAUGCCAUAGAACACCGAUUGCGAAGGCAGCUUGCUGGGCCUGAUUUGACGCUGAGGCACGAAAGCGUGGGGAGCAAACAGGAUUAGAAACCCCCGUAGUCC